CACGUAGGCGGACUGGCCAGUCAGGGGUGAAAGCCCGGGGCUCAACCCCGGAACGGCCCUUGAUACUGCCCGUCUGGAGACCGGGAGAGGAGAGUGGAAUUCCCAGUGUAGAGGUGAAAUUCGUAGAUAUUGGGAAGAACACCAGUGGCGAAGGCGGCUCUCUGGCCCGGGUCUGACGCUGAGGUGCGAAAGCGUGGGGAGCAAACA
This 207-nucleotide ribosomal RNA is filed under the name uncultured bacterium. RNAcentral describes it as "partial 16S ribosomal RNA". It matches the Rfam family "Bacterial small subunit ribosomal RNA", at positions 568 to 774 of the family's 1533-position model. The record is from RNAcentral.